Molecule: long non-coding RNA, 3395 nt
Filed under: Nicotiana tabacum (common tobacco)
Lineage: Eukaryota; Viridiplantae; Streptophyta; Magnoliopsida; Solanales; Solanaceae
Description: long non-coding RNA (NTAB_LNC001681)
Source: RNAcentral
ACUGAGCUUUUCCAUGCAAUCAGCAUUAGGGUUUUAAACCCUAAACUGAAUUUUCCUUUUAGUCAGCAUUAGGGUUUUAAACCCUAAACUGAACUUUUUCCUUUCAGCCAGCAUUAGGGUUUUAAACCCUAAACUGAGCUUUUCCAUGCAAUCAGCAUUAGGGUUUUAAACCUGAAACUGAAUUUUUCCUUUAGUCAGCGUUAGGGUUUUAAACCCUAAACUGAACUUUUCCUUUUAGUCAGCAUUAGGGUUUUAAACCCUAAACUGAGCUUUUCCAUGCAAUCAGCAUUAGGGUUUUAAACCCUAAACUGAAUUUUCCUUUUAGUCAGCAUUAUGGUUUAUAACCCUAAACUGAACUUUUUCCUUUCAGUCAGCAUUAGGGUUUUAAACCCUAAACUGAGCUUUUCCAUGCAAUCAGCAUUAGGGUUUUAAACCCUAAACUGAAUUUUCCUUUUAGUCAGCAUUAGGGUUUUAAACCCUAAACUGAACUUUUUCCUAUCAGCCAGCAUUAGGGUUUUAAACCCUAAACUGAGCUUUUCCAUGCAAUCAGCAUUAGGGUUUUAAACCCUAAACUGAGCUUUUCCAUGCUAUCAGCAUUAGGGUUUUAAACACUAAACUAAAUUUCCCAUUUAGUCAGCAUUAGGGUUUUAAACCCUAAACUGAACUUUUUCCUUUCAGCCAGCAUUUGGGUUUUAAACCUUAAACUGAGCUUUUCCAUGCAAUCAGCAGUAGGGUUUUAAACCCUAAACUGAACUUUUUCCUUUCAGCCAGCAUUAGGGUUUUAAACCCUAAACUGAGCUUUUUCCAUACAAUCAGCAUUAGGGUUUUAAACCCUAAACUGAAUUUCCCAUUUAGUCAGCAUUAGGGUUUUAUACCCUAAACUGAACUUUUUCCUUUCAGCCAACAUUAGGGUUUUAAACUCUAAAUUGAGCUUUUCCAUGCAAUCAGCAUUAGGGUUUUAAACCCUAAACUGAGCUUUUUCCUUUCAGCCAGCAUUAGGGUUUUAAACCCUAAACUGAGCUUUUCCAUGUAAUCAGCAUUAGGGUUUUAAACCCUAAACUGAAUUUUCCUUUUAGUCAGCAUUAGGGUUUUAAACCCUAAACUGAACUUUUUUCAUUCAGCCAGCACUAGGGUUUUAAACUCUAAACUGAUCUUUUCCAUGCAAUCAGCAUUAGGGUUUUAAACCCUAAACUGAGCUUUUCCAUGUAAUCAGUAUUAGGGUUUUAAACCCUAAACUGAAUUUUCCUUUACAUCAGCAUUAGGGUUUUAAACCCUAAGCUGAACUUUUCCUUUUAGUCAGCAUUAGGGUUUUAAAACCCUAAACUGAACUUUUCCAUGUAAUCAGCAUUAGGGUUUUAAACCCUAAACUGAAUUUUCCUUUUAGUCAGCAGUAGGGUUUUAAACCCUAAACUGAACUUUUUCCAUUCAGCCAACAUUAGGGUUUUAAACCCUAAAUUAAGCUUUUCCAUGUAAUCAGCAUUAGGGUUUUAAACCCUAAACUGAAUUUUCCUUUAUAUCAGCAUUAGGGUUUUAAACCCUAAGCUGAACUUUUCCUUUUAGUCAGCAUUAGGGUUUUAAAACCCUAAACUGAACUUUUCCAUGUAAUCAGCAUUAGGGUUUUAAACCCUAAACUGAAUUUUCCUUUUAGUCAGCAUUAGGGUUUUAAACCCUAAACUGAACUUUUUCCAUUCAGCCAACAUUAGGGUUUUAAACUCUAAAUUGAGCUUUUCCAUGCAAUCGGCAUUAGGGUUUUAAACCCUAAAUUGAACUUUCCUUUUAGUCAGCAUUAGGGUUUUAAACCCUAAACUGAACUUUUUCCUUUCAGCCAGCAUUAGGGUUUUAAACCCUAAACUGAGCUUUUCCAUGCUAUCACCAUUAGGGUUUUAAACCCUAAGCUGAACUUUUCCUUUUAGUCAGCAUUAGGGUUUUAAAACCCUAAACUGAACUUUUCCAUGUAAUUAGCAUUAGGGUUUUAAACCCUAAACUGAAUUUCCCUUUUAGUCAGCAUUAGGGUUUUAAACCCUAAACUGAACUUUUUCCAUUCAGCCAGCAUUAGGGUUUUAAACCCUAAACUGAGCUUUUCCAUGCAAUCAGCAUUAUGGUUUUAAACCCUAAACUGAAUUUUCCUAUUAGUCAGCAUUAGGGUUUUAAACCUUAAACUGAACUUUUCCUUUUAGUCAGCAUUAGGGUUUUAAACCCUAAACUGAACUUUUCCACUCAGCCAGCAUUAGGGUUUUAAACCCUAAACUGAGCUUUUCCAUGUAAUCAGCAUUAGGGUUUUAAACCCUAAACUGAAUUUUCCUUUUAGUCAGCAUUAGGGUUUUAAACCCUAAACUGAACUUUUUUCCAUUCAGCCAGCAUCAGGGUUUUAAACCCUAAACUGAGCUUUUCCAUGUAAUCAGCAUUAGGGUUUUAAACCCUAAACUGAAUUUUCCUUUUAGUCAGCAUUAGGGUUUUAAACCUUAAACUGAACUUUUCCUUUUAGUCAGCAUUAGGGUUUUAAACCCUAAACUGAACUUUUCCAUUCAGCCAGCAUCAGGGUUUUAAACCCUAAACUGAGCUUUUCCAUGCAAUCAGCAGUAGGGUUUUAAACCCUAAACUGAACUUUUCCAUUCAGCCAGCAUUAGGGUUUUAAACCCUAAACUGAGCUUUUCCAUGUAAUCAGCAUUAGGUUUUUAAACCCUAAACUGAAUUUUCCUUUUAGUCAGCAUUACGGUUUUAAACCCUAAACUGAACUUUUUCCUUUCAGCCAGCACUAGGGUUUUAAACCCUAAACUGAGCUUUUCCAUGCAAUCAGCAUUAGGGUUUUAAACCCUAAACUGAACUUUCCUUUUAGUCAGCAUUAGGGUUUUAAACCCUAAACUGAACUUUUUCCUUUCAGCCAGCAUUAGGGUUUUAAACCCUAAACUGAGCUUUUCCAUGCUAUCAGCAUUAGGGUUUUAAACCCUAAACUGAACUUUUUCCUUUCAGCCAGCAUUAGGGUUUUAAACCCUAAACUGAGCUUUUCCAUGCAAUCAGCAUUAGGGUUUUAAACCCUAAACUGAAUUUUCCUUUUAGUCAGCAUUAGGGUUUUAAACCUUAAACUGAACUUUUCCUUUUAGUCAGCAUUAGGGUUUUAAACCUUAAACUGAACUUUUCCUUUUAGUCAGCAUUAGGGUUUUAAACCCUAAACUGAACUUUUCCAUUCAGCUAGCAUUAGGGUUUUAAACCCUAAACUGAGCUUUUCCAUGUAAUCAGCAUUAGGGUUUUAAACACUAAACUGAAUUUUCCUUUUAGUCAGCAUUAGGGUUUUAAACCCUAAACUGAACUUUUUCCUUUCAGCCAGCAUUAGGGUUUUAAACCCUAAACUGAACUUUUUCCUUUAGUCAGCAUUAGGGUUUUAAACCAUAAACUGA